AAAGCUCAAACCUAUAAGCAGGAGUUGCUAAACACAAUACAAAAAAAGAAAAGGCAAAAGUAUAAAACUAGGCCAAAGGGGCCUACUUUUAGAAAAUGAUGAA
Molecule: long non-coding RNA, 103 nt
Organism: Melanotaenia boesemani (Boeseman's rainbowfish)
Lineage: Eukaryota; Metazoa; Chordata; Actinopteri; Atheriniformes; Melanotaeniidae
Exons: 3
Source: RefSeq, a predicted model, not a curated record